GACGAACGCUGGCGGCGUGCUUAACACAUGCAAGUCGAGCGGUAAGGCCCUUUCGGGGGUACGACGAGCGGCGAACGGGUAGGAGUAACACGUGGGUGACCUCGCCCUCAGCUCUGGGAGUAAGCCUGGGAAACCGGGUCUAAUACCGGAUAUGACUCCAUGACGCAUGUUGGUGGGGUGGAAAGCCUUGUGCGGCUGAGGAUGGGCCCGCGGCCUAUCAGC
This 222-nucleotide ribosomal RNA is filed under the name uncultured bacterium. Its description in RNAcentral is "partial 16S ribosomal RNA". It matches the Rfam family "Bacterial small subunit ribosomal RNA", at positions 28 to 245 of the family's 1533-position model. The record is from RNAcentral.